Molecule: unclassified non-coding RNA, 1609 nt
Filed under: Centruroides sculpturatus (bark scorpion)
Lineage: Eukaryota; Metazoa; Arthropoda; Arachnida; Scorpiones; Buthidae
Description: diacylglycerol O-acyltransferase 1-like, transcript variant X2
Source: RNAcentral
GUGCAUAGUUGCAAAAUAAUUCAUAUUUAUGUUUGGGUUACAAAUAGUUCAAAUCGGCUACUUUUAAAGCACAGUUUUGUUACAUUUUUAUUUUCAGAUCUGGCAACACUGUUCGUCAGUCCGUAUCACUUUCAACAUGUCUUUGAACAUGACACAAGAUGAUAUUUCAGCGGCUCCCGUCGUGGAUCCCGAAGAAAUUUUUGAUAACUUGACGUGCUUUAAUUUUGCACGCUACUUUCCCACCGAAGAGGCAGCGGAGAAAUUUUGCCACAUGGUGAGACUCGUUCCCCAUCCGGACCUAACCGGCUUUGUACCGUCGUGCCCAAAGUGCGGAGGCGUGAUGAGGAAAGAGCUGGCACCAGCGGAUAGGUUCGGAUUCGUCUACCGCUGUGAAAAACUACAACAAAAGAAAAAAAUGCGCCGGCGGACUGGCGGCUCCGUCUGGCGGGCCGUUUGCACCGGUACCCUCUCUUGUACCCAUAACACAUUUUUUGAAAGAGCUCAGCUCUCAGCUCAACAGGUGCUGAUGAUAAUUUAUGAAUGGGUCAAAGAGGAACCGGUCACCGUCGCCGCAAAAGAAUGCGGCGUGGCCCUGAAAACAGCGGUGGACUGGUUUAACUUCUGCCGGGAAAUUGCGGAGGUUUUCGUCUCCAACAACCAAAAUCAUCAACUUGGCGGUUACGGAAAGCACGUCGAGAUUAAUGAAACUUUUACUAGGAGACGAAAAUACAACCGCGGGCGCGUUACCAAAGGCACCCAAAUAACUAUAUUUGGUGCCUAUUGUCGGGAAACGCGAGAGCCUAUGUACUGGCAUGUAGAGAACAAAAGCAGGCGCGUUUUAUGGAGCCACGUGUCCAGAUACAUAGCCCCUGGUUCCAUCAUCGUUUCCGACAGCGCGCCCCAAUAUCGCGGUUGUACGACGAUGGGCUUCUCGGAACAAAAGACCGUGAAUCACAGCCAGCAGGGCUCCGGGAGAUUCGUCAACAGCGAAGAUCCCGAGGCCCACACUCAAAACAUCGAGUGUAGAGAUCGCUGGCCGAAGAAGUCCAUCAAGUCGCUCCGCACGGACAGGAGCCUGCAGGGGAGUUACGCUUGCAGCUACGUGUACAGGAUGCGGUUCCUGUCCAAGUUGCCAACAAUAUCGGCAAAAUUCCGGCAGUUUAUCGGGGAUAUCGUGGCCGUCUACCCGGGCCCCGGUCGCCAGGGUCUCCAACUCAAGACGAUCGGUGUGCCCGUGGAUCAACAUCCGCCGCCAGACGAGUCCUAUUUCGAUGUUCCCGUGCACGAGGGCGACGAAGAGGAACGACAGGGUGAUGACGAUCGCCUAACAACAUCGGGCGCCACCAACACCAUUGUCAUCGACCCCCAGGACCUAGCCGAGGCGGGGACUAGCGGCCUCACCCCGUUCUCACCUUCAUAACUUCAGAAACAGGCUAGGCGUCGCCAAGUAGCGAGAGGACGUCGCAGGAGAUGCAAGAGGAGACGCUGUUGAAGAUGCCAUGUACCUCGAGAUUCAUUACUAAGUUCUUCUAGUGGAUACACAAAUUAUAGAGGUUUAUUAAAUCUUUGUAUUGUGUUAUUAAUAUUGUCAAAUUCAAGAGUUGCACUU